Acinonyx jubatus (cheetah) is the source of this 1452-nucleotide long non-coding RNA. RefSeq lists it as uncharacterized. The transcript has 3 exons. Lineage: Eukaryota; Metazoa; Chordata; Mammalia; Carnivora; Felidae. The record is from RefSeq and is a predicted model, not a curated record.
AUGAGUAGUCACGCUUCCUCUGUCGCGGGGAAAGGGUCUGUAGGUGCCUUGUGAUGUCACAGCUGGUUGCUAUGGAGAUCAGGUUGCUGUAAAUGUCAGUCUGGGUCCACCAGGAGCACAGUGAUCAGCAUCCCAGUCUGGCGCAGGGAGAGAGGAAAAUGAGGCACCCUGGGGGCUCUCCUAAGUGCCUCUCCCCGCGCCCCAAACACGCGGACGCACACAGCGCAGCCAGCAGGCCCCGCGAACGUCCCCUGGCCCGCCCCGCGCGUGGCAAUAUGUGUCUGGGGAGAAACAACCCUGGCAGCCGAGAGCAGGGUGACACAUGGUCCGCAUCAGUCACUGUCCCCUCCCGCUCCUUCUGGAAGAAAGGUGCUGCUCAGCAGGUGGCAGUGGCAUCCAGGGCGUCCCCAUGGCAACACUGACUGAGGUCAGACCUCAUCACUGCGCUGACCUCACUCGGGGAGCCACUGGACCCGGGCUGGGCUGUCGCUGCCACGGGGGGGAAAUGGAAAAGCUGGGAAGAGGCUUUCCAGAAAAACGAAUCUGCCCUCUCAGGGUCAUGGCUUCUCCCGACAAGGAACUUGACCUUUCCGGACUCUGUGUUCACCGCCAUUGCUCGGAAUAAGAGGCAUCAGACAGAGAUUCUGGAAGCUGCUUUUCCCCACUUAGGCAGGAACGUGUCAACACCAGCACACGGAGGCCCGGGAGCUGGAGAGGCCUUUGCAGGACCCCUCGGGGAACUUCUUGCCCACCCCCCCCCCCCAGCAUGGACUGCCACGUCAGACUGCUCUCGGGGGAGAAGAGGGGUCCCAGGGGCUGGCGGGCUCCUCAGGUGCCGGGCCCCGCAAUCUCAGGAGCUGUGGGAAGGGAGACGAGUCGGGGAAGGAUCGCACACCCACGCAGCCUCGGCCUCGGCUCUCUCCUGAGUCACCGCCAAUUAGCUGAGGCAGGUGGGGAGCGAGGUGGGUGAAGGAGGGGCCCUUAGGUGCGGAGAGAAGAGGUUGGAAGGGGUGCGUUUGCAGGGAGAGCUGGAGGCAUGAACGGGCCCCCAGAGGUGGAGGGGACACCCAGGGCCUGUGUUCUGUGCAGUCAACCCCAUCCAACCGACCUGAGCACAGCAGCCAGCCUGCAGGGCCUGCGCCUGAAGCCAGAGGGCCGCGGGGGGGGGUGUGUGGAGGUGACCUUCCUCACUACAGGGGCCAGGGAGCUCCGAUAACAGGACGGCCACCGUUUACUGAGCACUAACAACAUGCCAGGCGUGGGCCAAGCCCUUCGCUCAGUGGUAACAGCGCUUACUUUGUGCAGGACUUCUACCUGCUCUCCCUCACACAGUUCUUACUAAGCAGACGAGGAAAAGGGGGCCCAGAGAGGUUAAGUGACUCGUCCCAGGUCACCCAGGAUGGGGACUCCAGAGCCCGUGCUCCGGAACCUUCACGGCAGCUCUGGGGAUAG